This 456-nucleotide ribosomal RNA is filed under the name uncultured Acholeplasma sp. RNAcentral's name for it is "bacterial SSU rRNA". It matches the Rfam family "Bacterial small subunit ribosomal RNA", at positions 925 to 1382 of the family's 1533-position model. Lineage: Bacteria; Bacillati; Mycoplasmatota; Mollicutes; Acholeplasmatales; Acholeplasmataceae. The record is from RNAcentral.
ACAAGCGGUGGAUCAUGUUGUUUAAUUUCGAUGAUACGCGAAGAACCCUUACCAGGUCUUGACACUCCCCCGCGAUGCUUUAGAGAAUAAAGCGGAGGUAUUCGGGGAGACAGGUGGUGCAUGGUUGUCGUCAGCUCGUGUCGUGAGAUGUUGGGUUAAGUCCCGCAACGAGCGCAACCCCUAUUGCUAGUUACCAUCAUUAAGUUGGGGACUCUAGCGAGACUGCCAGUGAUAAACUGGAGGAAGGUGGGGAUGACGUCAAAUCAUCAUGCCCCUUAUGACCUGGGCUACAAACGUGAUACAAUGGUCGGUACAAAGGGUUGCCAAGCCGCGAGGUGGAGCUAAUCCCAUAAAACCGAUCGUAGUCCGGAUCGCAGUCUGCAACUCGACUGCGUGAAGUCGGAAUCGCUAGUAAUCGUGAAUCAGAAUGUCACGGUGAAUACGUUCCCGGGCCUU